RNAcentral lists this long non-coding RNA (253 nucleotides) under Monodelphis domestica (gray short-tailed opossum). RNAcentral's name for it is "lncRNA (ENSMODG00000046349.1)". The record is from RNAcentral. Lineage: Eukaryota; Metazoa; Chordata; Mammalia; Didelphimorphia; Didelphidae.
CUUUUGAGUUGGUUGUCUCUCUCUGAGAGUUUAAGUUGGCCAGGAGAAACUGAGAGACCUUGAUGGUGUUUUAAAAGAAGUCUCUCAGUAUAAGUCCUAUUAUGAAUUUUGAAACAAGAUUCUUUGAAAGUCCGAUAAUAUCUGUGGAUUGUUAGCCUGGUUCCUCUUCAAAUAAUCUCUGGGACUCCAUUUGGGAAACUACAAAGAAAUUAGACAGGAGGCUCAAGGAAAUCUGAUUUCUACAAAAAGUAUU